CCUACGGGAGGCAGCAGUGGGGGAUAUUGCACAAUGGGGGGAACCCUGAUGCAGCGACGCCGCGUGGGUGAAGAAGCGCCUCGGCGCGUAAAGCUCUGUUAGUAGGGAAGUAAAUGCCGGUACCUGAAGAAGAAGCACCGGCUAACUACGUGCCAGCAGCCGCGGUAAUACGUCGGGGGCAAGCGUUAUCCGGAUUUACGGGGUGUAAAGGGGGCGCAGAGGGCGAUGCAAGCCAGGAGUGAAAGCCCGGGGCUCAACUCCGGGACUGCUUUUGAAACUGCGUGGCUAGAGUGCAGGUGGGGCAGGCGGAAUGCAUGGUGUAGCGGUGAAAUGCGUAGAGAUCAGGAAGAACACCGGUGGCGAAGGCGGCCUACUAGACUGCAUCUGACGUUGAGGCCCGAAAGCGUGGGGAGCAAACAGGAUUAGAUACCCCUGUAGUC
This 440-nucleotide ribosomal RNA is filed under the name uncultured bacterium. Its description in RNAcentral is "partial 16S ribosomal RNA". It matches the Rfam family "Bacterial small subunit ribosomal RNA", at positions 338 to 795 of the family's 1533-position model. The record is from RNAcentral.